RNAcentral lists this microRNA precursor (69 nucleotides) under Mesocricetus auratus (golden hamster). RNAcentral's name for it is "miRNA (ENSMAUG00000003986.1)". Lineage: Eukaryota; Metazoa; Chordata; Mammalia; Rodentia; Cricetidae. The record is from RNAcentral.
UGUAUGUAUGUGUGCAUGUGCAUGUGUGCACGCAUGUGGGUAUACAUACACAUGUAUGUGCAUGCCCAU